This 480-nucleotide unclassified non-coding RNA is filed under the name Hevea brasiliensis (rubber tree). Lineage: Eukaryota; Viridiplantae; Streptophyta; Magnoliopsida; Malpighiales; Euphorbiaceae. The record is from RNAcentral.
AAAGCACUUAGACCCUAUGCUCAAGCUAUGAGAGGAUAAAUCAGGCCAAGAACAAGAAUUUAGAACCUUAAAUCAUCAGAUACAAGAUAAAUUAACUUUCUAAUAUGUUAAAGCAAAAAUAUUUUCUUAAUUUCGCUGUAGACAUUCCUAUUAACAGAAAAAACUCAGCGAAGCAUGUGAAAGUAAUUAAGCUUGGGUAUUCAAAUCCUAUCUUAAUUUCAUCAAUCCAAGUCAAAAAGAAUUAAUAUAAGCUCGUUAAGAAUGAUCAAACCCAAUGCCAGAAUCAAGAAACAGCUGAAACGCAACAAACAAAAUACACCUUAAAGUGAACCCAAAACAAGUUGCCCAUUUUAUGCGCAAGAAUUAGCUGCCACAAUCCAACUUAGUAUGGUUCAAAUUGCAUUCUUGUAGCAAUGAAAUGGGGAUUAACACAUCCAAAGCUACAGCACUUGUAACUGAAAACAUAAGUGUAAAAAGAAU